This 251-nucleotide ribosomal RNA is filed under the name uncultured bacterium. Its description in RNAcentral is "partial 16S ribosomal RNA". It matches the Rfam family "Bacterial small subunit ribosomal RNA", at positions 87 to 339 of the family's 1533-position model. The record is from RNAcentral.
GGCGGCGAGUGGCGAACGGGUGAGUAAUAUAUCGGAACGUACCCUAGAGUGGGGGAUAACGUAGCGAAAGUUACGCUAAUACCGCAUACGAUCUCAGGAUGAAAGUGGGGGACCCGCAAGGGCCUCAUGCUCGUGGAGCGGCCGAUAUCUGAUUAGCUAGUUGGCGGGGUAAAAGCCCACCAAGGCAUCGAUCAGUAGCUGGUCUGAGAGGACGACCAGCCACACUGGAACUGAGACACGGUCCAGACUCC